CGCCUGUUUAUCAAAAACAUCGCCUCUUGUAAAAAUAAAAUAAGAGGUCCCGCCUGCCCUGUGACUAAUAGUUUAACGGCCGCGGUAUUUUGACCGUGCAAAGGUAGCGCAAUCACUUGCCUUUUAAAUGAGGGCCUGUAUGAAUGGCACAACGAGGGCUUAACUGUCUCCUCCUCCUAGUCAAUGAAAUUGAUCUCUCCGUGCAGAAGCGGAGAUAAAAACAUAAGACGAGAAGACCCUGUGGAGCUUUAGAUCACAAGCAGACCAUGUCAAGGACAAUAAUAAGUGACUCAAACAAAUUGGCUACUGUUUUCGUGUCUUUGGUUGGGGCGACCGCGGGAUAAUAAAAAACUCCCACGAGGAUAGAGAAAACCUAUUCUUAUAACCAAGAGCUUCCUCUCUAAGUAACAGAACAUCUGACCUUUAUGAUCCGGCCUGGCCGAUCUACGGACCGAGUUACCCCAGGGAUAACAGCGCAAUCCUCUUUUAGAGUCCAUAUCGACAAGAGGGUUUACGACCUCGAUGUUGGAUCAGGACAUCCUAAUGGUGUAGCCGCUAUUAAGGGUUUGUUUGUUCAACAAUUAAAGUCCUACGUGAUCUGAGUUCAGACCGG
Molecule: ribosomal RNA, 613 nt
Filed under: Oryzias latipes (Japanese medaka)
Lineage: Eukaryota; Metazoa; Chordata; Actinopteri; Beloniformes; Adrianichthyidae
Description: partial 16S ribosomal RNA
Rfam family: Bacterial large subunit ribosomal RNA
Source: RNAcentral